GAUGAACGCUAGCGAUAGGCCUAACACAUGCAAGUCGAGGGGCAUCACAUGAAGUAGCAAUACAGAUGGUGGCGACCGGCGCACGGGUGAGUAACACGUAUGCAACCUGCCUUCAACAAGGGGAUAACCCGUUGAAAGACGGACUAAUACCCUAUAACACAGGGGUCCCGCAUGGGAAUAUUUGUUAAAGGACAACCGGUUGAAGAUGGGCAUGCGUUCCAUUAGCUAGUUGGCGUGGUAACGGCCCACCAAGGCAACGAUGGAUAGGGGAACUGAGAGGUUUAUCCCCCACACUGGUACUGAGACACGGACCAGACUCCUACGGGAGGCAGCAGUGAGGAAUAUUGGUCAAUGGACGCAAGUCUGAACCAGCCACGUCGCGUGAAGGAAGACGGCCCUACGGGUUGUAAACUUCUUUUAUACGGGAAUAAAGUGCCCCACGUGUGGGGUUUUGCAAGUACCGUAUGAAUAAGGAUCGGCUAACUCCGUG
RNAcentral lists this ribosomal RNA (490 nucleotides) under uncultured bacterium. RNAcentral's name for it is "bacterial SSU rRNA". It matches the Rfam family "Bacterial small subunit ribosomal RNA", at positions 28 to 507 of the family's 1533-position model. The record is from RNAcentral.